RNAcentral lists this unclassified non-coding RNA (391 nucleotides) under soil metagenome. RNAcentral describes it as "partial contains 5.8S ribosomal RNA, internal transcribed spacer 2, and large subunit ribosomal RNA". The stretch from base 1 to 122 matches the Rfam family "5.8S ribosomal RNA", at positions 35 to 154 of the family's 154-position model. The record is from RNAcentral.
GAUGAAGAACGUAGCGAAAUGCGAUACUUGGUGUGAAUUGCAGAAUCCCGUGAACCAUCGAGUCUUUGAACGCAAGUUGCGCCCGAAGCCAUUAGGCCGAGGGCACGCCUGCCUGGGCGUCACACGUCGUUGCCCCCCCAUCUACUCCUUCGGGAUUGCGGGGGGCGGAUGAUGGCCUCCCGUGCGCCUCGUCGCGCGGUUGGCAUAAAUGCCAAGUCCUCGGCGACGCACGCCACGACAAUCGGUGGUUGCGAAACCUCGGUUGCCCGUCGUGUGCGGUCGUCGCGCAUCGAGGGCUCGAAAAAAUUGCCGGGAUCUGUGUCGGCUUUCAACGCGACCCCAGGUCAGGCGGGGUUACCCACUGAAUUUAAGCAUAUCAAUAAGCGGAGGA